This 238-nucleotide unclassified non-coding RNA is filed under the name Hevea brasiliensis (rubber tree). The record is from RNAcentral. Lineage: Eukaryota; Viridiplantae; Streptophyta; Magnoliopsida; Malpighiales; Euphorbiaceae.
UUUGUAUGGGUGCUGCAUGGAGGGACACAAUAGGAAGGAAGACCAAUUUUAACCAGAUCCUAGAUUACGUGAAAGAAAUAAGGGAUAUGGGCAUGGAAGUUUGCUGUACUCUAGGCAUGCUAGAGAAACAACAGGCUCAAGAACUCAAGAAAGCCGGCCUUACUGCUUAUAAUCAUAACCUUGACACCUCGAGAGAAUAUUACCCGAACAUUAUCACAACAAGAACGUAUGAUGAACG